Molecule: long non-coding RNA, 652 nt
Organism: Gasterosteus aculeatus aculeatus (three-spined stickleback)
Lineage: Eukaryota; Metazoa; Chordata; Actinopteri; Perciformes; Gasterosteidae
Source: Ensembl
ACUUUGCUACAUUAGCUGAGGACCUCAAUUCUCAUCUAUCGGUUGGACUGAAGUCUUUACUUUAACCAUUUAUUAUUUACUGAAAUGAGUUAAAUGCCUGAAUGAAUGUAAAAGUUACAUCUUUUAGAACAGAUUCUAAUUGAUAGUUUAUUUAAUAAAAAACGGUCCGCCUGGUUAAAAAAAGCUGUUGUAUUCAUUAUGGCUUAUUUUCCUGUGUAUGACAAUUCCACUUCUGUUUAAAUUAUAACUAACCAAUGACCCAAAAAGUGCGAUAAUUAAGGGCGAAUCCACUUUGAGGGACAAGCUGGUGCCGUACCAGGCCGUCUCCACCUCAAGGCUGUGCUGCCACUGCCAAGAUGGCGACCACUGGACCCGGCGCUUUCAGCGCCAUAAUGACUGGUGAUGUCGCUGAGACCAGUCAACAGCACAGCAUCAAGUUUGGAUUUUUUGGAAAUGAUGAUGCUCUCGAAAUAAUUAAAUCUCGUUGUCACCGGGACAAUAGAGCACGUCUCCAACAGGGUGCAGAUCAUUUUAUUUGAGCGGCACUACUAUUUACGGGCGUAAUUGGAUCUUCAAACCGCCAAGAGAUGCGCCCUUUUCGCAAAAUCCAUUAGCACACCACAACACUUUGCCCCUGGGACGAGCACUGGGG